This is a long non-coding RNA of Oncorhynchus nerka (sockeye salmon), 1123 nucleotides long. RefSeq lists it as uncharacterized. NCBI's taxonomy places the organism in Eukaryota, Metazoa, Chordata, Actinopteri, Salmoniformes, Salmonidae. The record is from RefSeq and is a predicted model, not a curated record. The transcript has 2 exons.
GGCAUAUUGGAAUCAAAAGUAGAACUACAAAACCGUUGAAGGCCUAGCUGUUGAACUCCGGUGGAGAAACGAAGACGGAAGCAUCCAGGUGGAGGAGCCAGACCAGGUGUACCUGCUAAUGAAGGAGGAAUACCGUAUCUCACGCAACGUACGUCUGGUCUGGUUCCUGGGCAAGCUCAAUCGGGUCAUUGGCCGGUCCCAAAGUCUAAACUAGUGGGUUAACUAGCUCUACUGGAGGAGAUGUAGCUAGACUUUUGUGCUGUCGCUCCAAUGAUAACGACUAUUAAGUGUUGGCAAAACAGCGUAAACAGAUCUGCGACCAGCCCAGAAAUCAUGUAGUAACCAAAAAGUGUUAAACAAAUCAGAAUAUAUUUUAUGAGAUUCUUCAAAGUAGCCACACUUUGCCUUGAUGACAGCUUUUCACACUCUUGGCAUUCUCUCAGCCAGCUUCACCUGGAAUGCUUUUCCAACAAUCUUGAAUUGUUCCCACAUAUGCUGAGCACUUGGCUGCUUUUUCUUCACUGCGGUCCAACUCGCCCCAAACCAUCUCAAUUGGGUUGAGGUCGGGUGAUUGUGGAGGCCAGGUCAUCUGAUGCAGCACUCCAUCACUCAUUCUUGGUAAAAUAGCCCUUACACAGCCUGGAGGUGUGUUUUGUCAUUUUCCUGUUGAAAAAGAAAUGAUAGUCACACUCAGCGCAAACCAGAUGGGAUGGCGGAUCGCUUCAGAAUGCUGUGGUAGCCAUGCAGGAUAUGUGUGCCUUGAAUUCUAAAUAAAUCACAUACAGUGUCACUAGCAAAUCACCAUCACACCUCCUCCUCCAUGCUUCACGGUGUGAACUGGACAUGCGGAGAUCAUCCGUUCAUCUACUCUGUGUCUCACAAAGACACAGCGGUUGCAACCAAAAAUCAAACAUUUGGACUGGUCUAAUGUCCAUUGCUCAUGUUUCUUGGCCCAAGAAAGUCUCUUUUUCUUAUUGGUGUCCUUUAGUAGUGGUUUCUUUGCAGCAAUUCGACCAUGAAGGCCUGAUUCACAGUCUCCUCUGAACAGUUGAUGUUGAGAUGUCUGUUACUUGAACUCUGAAGCAUUUAUUUGUGACUGCACUUGAAUAAACUUUUAAAGUUC